CCUACGGGAGGCAGCAGUGGGGAAUUUUGGACAAUGGGCGAAAGCCUGAUCCAGCAAUGCCGCGUGAGUGAAGAAGGCCUUCGGGUUGUAAAGCUCUUUUGUCAGGGAAGAAACGGUGUUUUCUAAUACAGAAUGCUAAUGACGGUACCUGAAGAAUAAGCACCGGCUAACUACGUGCCAGCAGCCGCGGUAAUACGUAGGGUGCAAGCGUUAAUCGGAAUUACUGGGCGUAAAGCGUGCGCAGGCGGUUUUGUAAGUCUGACGUGAAAUCCCCGGGCUCAACCUGGGAAUUGCGUUGGAGACUGCAAGGCUAGAGUUUGGCAGAGGGGGGUAGAAUUCCACGUGUAGCAGUGAAAUGCGUAGAUAUGUGGAGGAACACCGAUGGCGAAGGCAGCCCCCUGGGUCAAGACUGACGCUCAUGCACGAAAGCGUGGGGAGCAAACAGGAUUAGAUACCCUGGUAGUCCACGCCCUAAACGAUGUCUACUAGUUGUCGGGUCUUAAUUGACUUGGUAACGCAGCUAACGCGUGAAGUAGACCGCCUGGGGAGUACGGUCGCAAGNUUAAAACUCAAAGGAUUGACCGGNNGAGAGNGCGAGACGACGACGAGGGAGGAGG
This 617-nucleotide ribosomal RNA is filed under the name uncultured bacterium. RNAcentral's name for it is "bacterial SSU rRNA". It matches the Rfam family "Bacterial small subunit ribosomal RNA", at positions 338 to 948 of the family's 1533-position model. The record is from RNAcentral.